RNAcentral lists this ribosomal RNA (404 nucleotides) under Fusobacteriota bacterium. Its description in RNAcentral is "Fusobacteria bacterium partial 16S ribosomal RNA". It matches the Rfam family "Bacterial small subunit ribosomal RNA", at positions 355 to 776 of the family's 1533-position model. Lineage: Bacteria; Fusobacteriati; Fusobacteriota. The record is from RNAcentral.
UGGGGAAUAUUGCACAAUGGAGGGAACUCUGAUGCAGCGACGCCGCGUGAGUGAUGAAGGAAUUCGUUUCGUAAAACUCUGUUCUAUGGGAAGAAAAGGACUGUACCAUAGGAGAAAGCUCCGGCUAAAUACGUGCCAGCAGCCGCGGUAAUACGUAUGGAGCGAGCGUUGUCCGGAAUUAUUGGGCGUAAAGGGUGCGCAGGCGGCUUUACAAGUUGGAUGUGAAAUAUUGUGGCUCAACCACAAACGUGCAUCCAAAACUGCAAAGCUUGAGUUAAGGAGAGGUAAGUGGAAUUCCUGGUGUAGCGGUGGAAUGCGUAGAUAUCAGGAGGAAUACCGGUGGCGAAGGCGACUUCCUGGACUUAAACUGACGCUCAGGCACUAAAGCGUGGGGAGCAAACAGG